UCUCUUUCCCCAUUGUGCCCCCUCUCCUUCCGCUCGAAAACGAGCUCGCGAGAUCGCACUGUGGCUGUGUGUGUCAUCGCCGUUGCCGCGGCCUGAGUACUCCCCGGCGUUGGAGGAGUUGUCCAGGCGGACCGCCAUCAACCACCGCAUCUUCUUCGAGUCCCCGUUCAUCGGGAGCAGCACCACAACGACGGCAUCGACCGACUCCACCAACCUCGACCGCCGCCAUCUCGCCAUCGUCCCGUGAGCUCCGGCCAUCCCCAACCCCCUCGAGCUUGUCCACGACCUCCCCGCAGUGAGGCCCUCGUCCAAUUCCCCUCCCCCGCUUAGAAUUUGUCCCGUAGCCGCCGCCCUUAAGUUUGUCUGAAGCUCCGCGUGCCCAUUGGCCUGUGGCCGUGCUCACCACACCUAUACUGCGACCUGGGCUCAUCCCUGCCGCGCGCACGCGCCCAAGACAUCCCCUGGCCGCGUCCGCCUGGGCGUGCUGCGGCGGCUGCGCGCGCCCGUCACCCGCUCGCUCGGCUGCCCAUGCUGCUGCUUUUGCCGCCCGCGCCGUAGCUGCCCCGCGCCAUAGCGACCCACUCACCCGACACGCUGUUGCGGCUGUGCCCACCGUUGGCCUCGCCCCCGCGCUCGCUUGCGUGCUGCUCGCAGCCGCCGCAACUCGCGAGCCUCCCUGCAACGCCCUAUAGCGCGCGCACAUGCCCGUGGCCUCGCCGUCGCUGCCUAGCGCCUGCACGGCACCGCUGCACUCUGCUUCUGCUCCUCUGCUACAGUAACGUUCAGUUACUAUAGCAGAGGCUAGCUUUACUGCUUUUACACGGAGUAGCCCUCUAAACAACACUUAAGCAGCAGAAAAACAUGCUCUAGCAUAGAUAAAAAAUAUAUGGGCGUGUAGUACACUUGACAUGGUUCAAUUCUUUCCAUUGGCCGAAAUACAAAAGUCGCCUAGAUUAAUUCCUAUAAAAAUGACAAACGUCUAUGUUCUAUUAACUAGAAGAACUGAAAAACAGAUUCUGGAUUUGACAUCCAGUAGCACUUUUCAAACAAAGAUUUGGACAGGCAAAUGGGCACUAAUGUAGAUGAACUUGAAACUGUCAUCUAGAUCAUGAAAAGGUGAUAAAAAUUGGUAAAGGGCACUACGCCAUAGGAUGUACAAAACCACAGUUAUAGCCUUCGGAAAACAGCUAACUGAUGUUUAAAACUAAGCAAUUCUCAGACUUAGCCAAUUUUCCGGAAAUUCCAAAUAACUGUUUAAAACUAUGUAAAAUCAUAGAAAAUAAUCCGUAGCUCGGAUGAAAAUGUUUUCUACAUGAAAGUUGCUCAGAAAAAUCCAACGAAUCCAAAUACGCGGUCCGUUCAUCUGUCAUGUGCUCCUAGCAUGCCAAACAUGUAACCAUGUCCUCUCUUUCAUCUGUCCGAAAAAGCCAAACUUCACGAAAACUUUCCCGGAUGUUAUCCCCCUUCGCCGAUAUUGUGUAGCACUACGAUAGGUCACCCCUAGCGCCGCGUAUCGUCAUGUCCUACUUAUGUUUGCUUGUAUUUACUGUUUCUCCCCCCUCUUUCCUCCGGUAGACCCCGAGACCACUACUGAUGCCCCUGUGGUCGACUGCAUCACCGACAACCCUUUUUCCCUUUCAGCGGAGUUUCCAGGCAAGCAAACCCCCUUGAGCAUUCCGAUAUCGCCCAUUUCUUUCCCUCUCAUGCUUGCAUUAGAACUGCUACUGCUUUCUGUAUGAUCCUACUCUGAUGCACAGCCUGUUGUUGUUACCUGCUUUCAUACCUUACCUGCUUAUCCUAAACUGCUUAGUAUAGGUUUCUUAGUGAUCCAUCAGUGACCCUCACCUUGUCCCAGUUGCCCCACUUUAUGUUCGAUGACUCGAUCAACGUGAUCGAUGUCCAGGCCCCGACACUGCACAUCCCCCCUAGUUGUAUGAAUCUGCAGAAUUACCAUCGAGUGCCGAGGGUGGAACCUCUUACAUCACUCCUGAUGAGAUCUCUGUAGUGUAGUUAUACGGUCGAGGUCAUCGAGGGCGAUUUCCUCCUUAACCACUUCCGUUACCGCUCUAUCGUGCAACCCCUCAAGUGUGAACCUCGAGGGUGGAUCCUCUUACGUUCACCUUGAUGAUAACAUCGAGUGGGAUUCACCGGGGGUGAUUCCUCGGGUUUUCUCCUUGGUGUUAGACACACAGUUAUUACUAUGACUUUACACCGAGCCAUGUUACUAAAGACGGGUCGACCCUGAGGGGUACCCGCGUGAGCUUAUUUAGCGAGUGAUAUGGAGUCAGGUUGACCUGGAAGGUGCCCGCAAGAUACUUACGAGGCGUGGCCGGGCAUUCUUAGCCCUUGCCGCAAGUACUCGAGACGGGGCGACGGGGUCACAUCGAUCGUGAGUCUCUGCUCGCUACUGCGCGUUCCUAAUCCACUACGAUUUGGAUAUUUGAUCCAAGGGGCCUCUGGCCUGAUAGCACUAACCAUCACGUGGGCAUAGUAUGGGCGUUCUGCGUCGUAUACAUCAGCUGAAGCUUAAUAGACGUCAGCGACUGAGCAGCGCGCGCCGGGUUGGACUGGAAAGCACCUACCUUGUUGAAGGAGGUAGCUAGGUCUGCUCACCGGCCGCGUACGCAACGUGCAGGAGUUCCCGGGGAGAUGGCCUAUGACCCCUGGGGGCAUAGGUUUAGUCCGGCGUGCUAGCCUCUCUAUUGAGCCUAGGUCGGGUUGCGGCAUAUUGUUUGGCCGAGGCCGGGCAUGACCCAGGAAAGUGUGUCAGGCCGGAGUUAAUUGAGCGUGGUGGGUAAGUUGGUGCACCCCUGCAGGGAAGAAAACAUCUAUCGAUAGCCUGUCCUAUGGUAACGGACACUUGGAGUUGUAUCCCGAUCGAUACAACUAGAACUGGAUACAUGAGAUGAGAAUGGGAUUGUGAUGAUAACUGGAUAGUAUGGCUCUGGGAUUGCUUUCUCGCAGGGAGUCGAGAAAGGAUCUCUGGCCUAGGUUGAUAACACUUCUACUACUUUACUUUAUGCUACUCUACUCCUUCCUGUUGCUGCAAGAUGGUGGUUUCCAGAAGAUGCUAGUCUUCGAUAGGCUAGGCUUUCCCCUUCCCUUCUGGCAUUCUGCAGUUUAGUCCACAGAUACAACCCAUUCCUUUGAUACAGAUGCAUACUUAGUUUAGAUCUGAUGUAAGUCUUGCGAGUACUUUGGAUGAGUACUCAUGGUUGCUUUGCUACUUCUUUUCCCCCAUACCCGAUUGUUGUGACCAGAUAACGGAUCCCAGGAGCCAGACGACACCACUGAUGACUACUACUACCCGGAGGAUGCCUACUACUACGUGAAGACUGCAGAUGACUAGGAGUAGUUAGGAGGCUCCCAGGCAAGAGGUCUUGCCUUUUCGAUCUUUGCUGCUUUUGUGCUAGCCUUCUUAAGGCAAUCUUGUUUAACUCAUGUCUGUACUCAGAUAUUGUUGCUUCCGCUGACUCUUGUGUUUUCGAGCUUAUGUAUUCGAGCCCUCGAGGCCCC
Molecule: long non-coding RNA, 3516 nt
Filed under: Triticum aestivum (bread wheat)
Lineage: Eukaryota; Viridiplantae; Streptophyta; Magnoliopsida; Poales; Poaceae
Description: long non-coding RNA (TAES_LNC001558)
Source: RNAcentral